AGUCACUAACCUCGAUCACUCCACACAAUGGAACCAUUCAGAUGCCCCGAGACAGAGAUCUAGUAUCAGUUUCUGAUCAGCGUCCAGAGGCAACUUCAACUUCCCCAAUCCCCCAUCAAUUCAGCUCGACAAGACAGAAUGUGAUGAUGUCACUUGUGAUGUCAUUUCCCAUUGGACCUGACUAAUUGCUAGACGUCCCUUCAAUGGAGGAAGAAACCAUCUGUUCACAGCAGAGCAGGAACAACACAUAGUGAAUAAGGUCAUUUCAAACAACAGCAUACGUUUACGACUACUGCAUCACCACAUCAUCACUGACAACACAACAUUCAGUACCAUAAAUAGGGUGAGUUUAUCGCACUUGGCCGUCUUCUGAAACGCUAUCAGAUUCGUAUGAAGCAGCUCUACAGAGUACCAUUUGAACAAAAUUCUGACAGUGAAACAACUGCGCUAUGAAUACGUACAAAGAGUUCUGGAACUAGAUGCUGCUGCAGAGCAUCAUGAUUUCGUCUACGUUGAUGAGGUCGGCUUUAACAUAGCUAAAACAAGCCGCAGGGGAAGAAACCUCAUAGGACACCACCAUCGUCAAUGUCUCUGGACAGCGUGGUGACAACAUCACAAUGUGUGCAGCCAUUAGUCAGAAUGGUGUCCUUCAUCGCUUGUGAUGUUGAUGGGGUACUGUGGCCAGACCCAAAAUGGAGACAGGAUGCACCCUAAUUGUUUUUUUCUUUAUAAUAACAAGCCUAUUUGUUUUUCUUCUACUGUAUUUGUUUAAUCUGUUACUGUUCAUCCCGAAAUCUGGAUGAAAAUACAAAAUACUAUGUUUUGAGAAAGAAAUACAUUACAUUUUUCCCCCCUUG
This is a non-coding RNA of Salmo salar (Atlantic salmon), 857 nucleotides long. The record is from RefSeq and is a predicted model, not a curated record. NCBI's taxonomy places the organism in Eukaryota, Metazoa, Chordata, Actinopteri, Salmoniformes, Salmonidae.